Long non-coding RNA from Pyrus x bretschneideri (Chinese white pear), 1867 nucleotides. RefSeq lists it as uncharacterized. The record is from RefSeq and is a predicted model, not a curated record. Lineage: Eukaryota; Viridiplantae; Streptophyta; Magnoliopsida; Rosales; Rosaceae. The transcript has 3 exons.
UGUUAGGUCAAGUUGUGGGGGUUCCUUUAUUUAUUUCGUUUUCUAUCAUUUUCUCUCAUUUUGGGGAUGCAUCUCUCUGUUCUGUGUAUUGUUCUUUGUUUUAAGGUCAGUUUUCUUCUUCUUUUCUUUUUUUUGUUUUUUUGGGUUUUUUUUUGUGGGCUUUCAGUGAUUUGAUAUUUUCAUUUUCCAUUUUGCUGUGAAUUUUCUUCAAUUUGAUCGAACAUCUCGAUACGAACAGUUUGACAGACAAAUGAUAAACCUAACACAUGCAUGCUCUGAUUUCCUUGGUAGGUCAUAUUUUUCACUUUCUGGAUGUGCAAAGUUUGGAUAGUACACAUCACCGGGCCAAACCUUUCUCAGGAAUGUCAUUCUAAAAGGAUAUUGGCAGGAGGGGGUGGAAUGUCAUUCUAAAAUAUAUGUAAUUCAAUUCUCUCAUUUUCUAUAGCAGAAUUGCAGAUUUCUAAAUCGAAAAGGAAAAACAAACACUAUAGCAGCAUGUAAAGGGGAAGCACAGGUAAAGGUUUCUGAUGUCAGUUGGCUGUUUCUUUUUAGUGUUUUCAAUUUGUUCCUUUUAUUCUGUCUGCAAUUUAUAAUCUGUGGUUAUGCAUCAAUUUCUCUGCUUCUUCUUUAUAAAUCUUGCAGGUCAGGACAACACACUUAUCGGGGCAAUGUUGGGAUGUUUAGGCUUGGGUGGAGACAUGGACUUUUGGAAGAGGUGAAUUAGCUUAGCUCUCUGUCAUUAGCUUUAUCUGUUCUAUGCAUCUCUACAAUCUUACAAUGCUCCUUUAUUAAAUUGCAAGAUGUUGGGACCCGUUACUGAAAUACAAGAUUUGGAACAAAAGUGGUUGACAAUGCUAGAGUCGAAAGCAAGUGUGAAAUUCACAUUGAAAAUGACAGGAGAGGGUUGCGCAUGAUCUGUAGGUUCAAUCAAUCUCGCUGUUUUCGUUAGAAUCACAAUUAAAGGUCAGUUUUUCCGACAUUUUUUUUUUCUUUUUGCUGCAUGUUUAUGUAUGGUUGGUCUAUGAGAUUUUGUUUUUAGUCACUGUUGAUUUGCAGUUUAUGUCUCCCUUUAGCUACAUAUUGACACAUGUUUAUUCUCAGCAUUUUUUUGUUAGGGUAAGUGGUUUGGUGGUUUGGUGAGUUCUAUAUUAUUAUAUAAUCUUUGGGGCUAUUUUAAGUAAAAAUGAAAUGUUAACAUUGAUAUAGCAUACGGCACACUGAAUUCACACUCCUGUAUUCGGUCUUCAUGUUUCCAUUGCAACACUCUGCAUUUCCUAACCAACGAAUUUUUUGAUAAAGACGUUAAAGCAAUUACAUGCUCUAUCAAGUAUGUUUUAUAUGUAGUUGUGGUAGUUGCAAGGAAAUGAAAUAUUUGUGCUGAUAACUGGUAGUUUAAAUAUAUAGAAAUAGAGAAUAAUUAUAAAUGGAGCACCUAGGAUAUUUAACAUUGUUUUCUUUUCCAUGUAAGCUCACACGCUCAGAUUUCAACGCGUUUCGAAGGUGGAAAUGACAAGAAUGUGCAGUGUGGACCUCCAAUUUCUAGUGCUAUGAUGCAUGAGGACUGCCAAAGUGAGAAUAUUGGUUAGUUGUCAUCAAGCAGCCCUUGUAGAUGUGUAUUUUGUUUAUAUAUUGCUAGUUUAACCAUUAGUACGUUUGACUUGGGGAUACAAGCUUGGAUAUGUUAUAUUUUGUUGUAUAUAGAGAAUCCCGGGUAUGUCCAGCAUAGGAUAACAUGUAUUUUUUGGUUUAACAUUUGGAUGGGUUGUAUUGUUAGGUUGCAUGAAUCGGUCUUAGCCGAGAACAUGGGUUAUGUAAUAUAUUAACUUCACUAUUUUAGUGCUAAUGUUGAUUUAUGUUUAGUUUGUAA